Molecule: ribosomal RNA, 495 nt
Filed under: uncultured bacterium
Lineage: Bacteria
Description: partial 16S ribosomal RNA
Rfam family: Bacterial small subunit ribosomal RNA
Source: RNAcentral
GACGAACGCUGGCGGCGUGCCUAAUACAUGCAAGUAGAACGCUGAAGGAGGAGCUUGCUUCUCUGGAUGAGUUGCGAACGGGUGAGUAACGCGUAGGUAACCUGCCUGGUAGCGGGGGAUAACUACUGGAAACGAUAGCUAAUACCGCAUAAUAGUAGAUGUUGCAUGACAUUUGCUUAAAAGGUGCAAUUGCAUCACUACCAGAUGGACCUGCGUUGUAUUAGCUAGUUGGUGGGGUAACGGCUCACCAAGGCGACGAUACAUAGCCGACCUGAGAGGGUGAUCGGCCACACUGGGACUGAGACACGGCCCAGACUCCUACGGGAGGCAGCAGUAGGGAAUCUUCGGCAAUGGACGGAAGUCUGACCGAGCAACGCCGCGUGAGUGAAGAAGGUUUUCGGAUCGUAAAGCUCUGUUGUAAGAGAAGAACGAGUGUGAGAGUGGAAAGUUCACACUGUGACGGUAUCUUACCAGAAAGGGACGGCUAACUACGUG